Molecule: RNA transcript, 2419 nt
Organism: Lutra lutra (Eurasian river otter)
Lineage: Eukaryota; Metazoa; Chordata; Mammalia; Carnivora; Mustelidae
Gene: TMEM238
Gene name: transmembrane protein 238
Exons: 3
Source: RefSeq, a predicted model, not a curated record
GCGCAAGGACUCGCCUGUCCUCGCCUCCUCCCGUCCGCCUGCGAGCCGGAUCGGUAACGUUCGGCUGCUUCCGCCAGCCGGUCGCCAACCACUCGGAGGCCUUCGGAACUGUUCGGCUAGUGACCCCAGGGCGUGUCCUCGGAGGCGGAGCACCCCCUUUCGAGGGCCCUUCGUGUGUUUUCGGAAGUGCAGCGCUGGAUUUCCGAGUAGGUCCAGUUCGAGAGACCCUAAGUCCCUUUCUGAAGGGGUUUCUCUCCAGGGUUGCUCACCAGCGCUUGGCACAGUAUAGGUGCUCCAUAACUAUUUGUUUUACGUCUGAACGUGCGGAUGCGUGAGUCACUUAAGGCCAGCUCCAGGGUCUCCGGAUGCUUCCGGUCUUCUUCGCGAGCUCUCGGCUCUUCCCGACGAGUGCACAGAGGCCCGCUCGGGCAUUUUCGCAACCCUUCGGAGACGCCCUCCCGGGUCUGUUCGGAAACACUCGUUUUCCUUCGGGCCACGUUCGGAAAUCUGCGGCUGAUGCGGGUAGAUUGGGGUCGCCCUCCGCAGGCGAUCUCAAACGCUUUAGUCUGGAGAGAAGCUGGACGUAAUCUUCUAGCGGACUGACCACCCCUCCGCCCCAGGAGGGCGUCGGUUCCCCCGAGGACGAAUCGUUUGGAGGGGGAGGGAUUUGCCUUAAAAGCUCUUGGUUCCUUGGGGGGCCGCAUCUGUUGGCCUCUGCCCCGUCCCCUCUACCCCCAGCCCGCCCGCAGCCGCACCCCUUAAACUCUCUUGUUUUCUGUUGCCACGGCCCUCUUCAGGGGCAGGAGACCCGCGUGAUGAACCCCGGGUCCUCGGCCUCAACAGCAAGGGGCUGGGCGCUCGGGGGGGGGGGGGGGGGGUGGCGCUCCGGAAACCCCGGCUCACCAAACGGAACGGCCAUGGCCUCUGUCGCCCCCGCGAGUGCAGCUGGACCUGGGACUGUGUCCGGGAACUCCAUGAGGUCCCCCUCCGUGUUCGGGGGCUUCGCCCCUAGGGAAUCCCGGCCGUCCAGAGGCAUUGGGAGAAGCCUGGGGGCCCGCCCCGCUGCCCGCACCAUCGCCCCCAGGCCCGAAGUGGGUGCGCUCAGGGCCGGGAGUUCCAUCACCUCCCAGGGGCGCACGGGCCACCCCAGGGGACCGGCAAUAAGGGAGAGAAAUCUCAGCUCCCGAGAGCCCCGUGUUUCCUCCAUUAGGGCGCCCUGCCCGCUAACUCCGGCGUCCCGGGGCUCCGGGUCCAGGCGUCUUGUCUGGUCCUUGUUUUUUGACCCCACCUGUCCCCACCGCGGGGCCUGGGGCGCAGAGGGCCCCGCAGGCAGGCGCUGAAGAGAAGCAACGUCCGGGCUCCCGGAGCACCCCACGCUGCCUCCAUUAGGGCACCCUGAGUUUUGAAUGUGUUCCUUCGCGCUCCUUGGGGUGCGUAAGGCCCCUCCCACCCUUAUCCGGGAGCCCGGCUGCCCCCUUCAAGGUCUCUGAGGACCAGGACGUGCCCAGAAACCAGGGCCGGGGCACCCCCCGAGUCGGGCCCGUGUGCACCCCAGCCAGCUCAGGUGACCAGGAGGGCGCCGGGCACACCUGGCGCCGUCCCCUGACCCCGCCCCGGGCCGGGCCGCACCCCGGAAAGCUCUCUGGGGGAGCCAGCGCGGCGCAGCAGGGCCAUGGCAGCGGCGCCAGCGGUGGGCGUCCCGCAGGGGCCCCCGCCGGGGGCACCGUCCCCGCCGGCCGGCGCGCCGGGGCCUGCGUCCGGCCUGGGCCGCUGCCGGAUGGCGCUGUUGCUGGCGGUGGCGCUGGACGUGGCGGGCAUGGCGGCGCUGCUGACCGGCGUGUUCGCGCAGCUGCAGGUGCGCGGCCGCGACUUCGGCGACCUGCUCAUCUACUCGGGCGCGCUGCUCGUCUUCCUGAGCCUGCUCGGCUGGAUCCUCUGGUACACCGGCAACAUCGAGAUCUCGCGCCAGGAGCUCGAGCGCGACUACGGCCUGCGGCCCUCGGCGCUCGCCCGCCUGGCGCGCAAGCUCUCCCGCCGCUGGUCUGCGCCGGCCUCCUCCUCCGGCCCGCGCGCCGCGCCCGGCUCUCUGGGAACGCGCCGUGCCGCCCGCGCGCCCCCGCCGACCGCCGCCGGCUCCCGCCGCGUGCGCCUGCAGCUCGCUACGCUCGAGGCCGGGCCGGGGGCGGCGGGCGCGGGCACCGAGUGAGCCCGAGCUUGUGCCGCUGGCCCCCAGGGAGGCAAGUAUGCCGGCCCAGGUUGGCGGUGGAGAGAUGAAGGAGCGACCAAGCAGGAGUACAGCCCCACGGCCCCACCUGUGAGGACGGGACUGCGUGUGCAGCUGCACCCACCACCAUCUGGGCCACCAGGAUGCCUGCUUGUCUGCCCCUAUCCUCUCUCGGAUAAAUGGCUCUGCCUCCUA